UUCACAAUAAAUAAAAAUUUUUAUUCAAUUAAACUAAAUCAUUAUUAAAACUUAGUAAAGGAGAUAAAAAAGUCACCAGGAGCAAUGAAACUAGUACCGCAAGGGAAAGAUGAAAUAAAAAUGAAAUAAAUUUAAGUAGGAAAAAGCAGAGAUCUGCCCUCGUACCUUUUGCAUCAUGGUUUAACUAGUUCAACCAAGCAAAAAGAAUUUAAGUUUGACUUCCCGAAACUAGGUGAGCUACUUCAAGGCAGUUUAUUGAGCCAACCCGUCUCUGUUGCAAAAGAGUGGGAAGACCUUCAAGUAGGGGUGAUAGACCUACCGAGCCUAGUGAUAGCUGGUUAUUCAGGAAAAGAAUAUUAGUUCAACUAAAAAUUACCUAAAUAUAAAUAAAUAUUACUCUAAUUUUUAAGCAAUUCAAAUAAGGUACAGCCUAUUUGAAACAGGAUACAACCUAAACUAACGGGUAACUUUUCUAGCACUUAUAUUUAAGUAGGCCUAAUAGCAGCCAACUUUAAAAAAGCGUCAAAGCUUACUUAUAUGCUACUCUAAUACCUUAAUAAACUUUAAACCCUUUAUCAAUACUGAAUACUUCUAUAUACUCUAUAGAACUUUUUAUGUUAAAACUAGUAACAAGAAGAAAAACUUCUCUUUAAUGUAAAUGUAAGACGGCUAGAAUGCCCCACCGACAAUUAACGCCUGUGAACAACCAGUAAAAACUUUGCAAGAAAAAUCUACUACUUUUCACGUUAACCUUACACAAGAACAUUACAAGAAAGAUUUAAAGAAAAGGAAGGAACUCGGCAAAUUUUAACCUCGCCUGUUUACCAAAAACAUCGCCUCUUGCUAAUUAUAAGAGGUCUAGCCUGCCCAGUGAUAUAAUUCAACGGCCGCGGUAUCCUAACCGUGCGAAGGUAGCGUAAUCACUUGUUCUUUAAAUGAGGACUAGUAUGAACGGCAUCACGAGGGUUAAGCUGUCUCCCAUUUCUAAUCAGUGAAACUGAUCUCCCCGUGAAGAAGCGGGGAUGAUUUUAUAAGACGAGAAGACCCUAUGGAGCUUUAAACUAUUCAACAAUUGCUAUACUACUAUUAAUUUUCAGAAUAUAAAAUUUAUUUUAACAAUAUGAUUGCUAGUUUUCGGUUGGGGUGACCGCGGAGUAUAAAUUAACCUCCACAAUGAAAGAAACUGUAUUUCUUAACCCAGAGCUACACCUCCAAGUAUCAAAAAUUUGACAUAAAUUGAUCCAAUUAAAUUGAUCAACGAACCAAGUUACCCUAGGGAUAACAGCGCAAUCCACUUCAAGAGCCCCUAUCGACAAGUGGGUUUACGACCUCGAUGUUGGAUCAGGGUAUCCU
This 1353-nucleotide ribosomal RNA is filed under the name Physalaemus maculiventris (Mantagnes dwarf frog). RNAcentral's name for it is "partial 16S ribosomal RNA". It matches the Rfam family "Bacterial large subunit ribosomal RNA", at positions 150 to 2548 of the family's 2925-position model. The record is from RNAcentral. Lineage: Eukaryota; Metazoa; Chordata; Amphibia; Anura; Leptodactylidae.